RNAcentral lists this ribosomal RNA (3234 nucleotides) under Oceanicola granulosus HTCC2516. Lineage: Bacteria; Pseudomonadati; Pseudomonadota; Alphaproteobacteria; Rhodobacterales; Roseobacteraceae. The record is from RNAcentral.
AUCAAGCGCGAAAAGGGCGUUUGGUGGAUGCCUUGGCAGUAAGAGGCGAUGAAGGACGUGAUACUCUGCGAUAAGCCAUGGGGAGCUGAGAAUAAGCUUUGAUCCAUGGAUCUCCGAAUGGGGCAACCCACCUGACAGUUUGUUAUAAUUGCCGCUUGCGGCAGCCUAUAAUGAGCUGAACCAGGUACUUCUCACCUGAAUACAUAGGGUUUGAAGAGCAAACCCGGGGAACUGAAACAUCUAAGUACCCGGAGGAAAGGAAAUCAACAGAUACUCCGCUAGUAGUGGCGAGCGAACGCGGACCAGCCGAGCAAUGAGAGUGACCGGAACAUGUUGGAAAGCAUGGCCACAGCGGGUGACAGCCCCGUACGGGAAGCUCGAUUUGACGUAUUAAGUAGGGCGGGACACGUGAAAUCCUGUCUGAAGAUCGGGGGACCACCCUCGAAGGCUAAGUACUCCUUACUGACCGAUAGCGAACCAGUACCGUGAGGGAAAGGUGAAAAGCACCCCGACGAGGGGAGUGAAACAGUACCUGAAACCGAACGCCUACAAUCAGUCGGAGGCUCCUUGCGAGCUGACGGCGUACCUUUUGUAUAAUGGGUCAUCGACUUGGUCUCACGAGCAAGCUUAAGCCGUUAGGUGUAGGCGCAGCGAAAGCGAGUCUUAAUAGGGCGCAUGAGUUCGUGGGAUCAGACCCGAAACCGAGUGAUCUAGGCAUGACCAGGAUGAAGGUAAGGUAACACUUACUGGAGGUCCGAACCCACACCUGUUGAAAAAGGUCGGGAUGAGUUGUGCCUAGGGGUGAAAGGCCAAUCAAACUCGGAGAUAGCUGGUUCUCCGCGAAAUCUAUUUAGGUAGAGCGUCAUCCGAAUACCCUCGGGGGUAGAGCACUGGAUGGGUAAUGGGGCCCCACAGGCUUACUGAUCCUAACCAAACUCCGAAUACCGAGGAGUACUAGAUGGCAGACACACGGCGGGUGCUAACGUCCGUCGUGGAGAGGGAAACAACCCUGACCUACAGCUAAGGCCCCCAAUUCGUGGCUAAGUGGGAAAGCAGGUGGGACGACCAAAACAACCAGGAGGUUGGCUUAGAAGCAGCCAUCCUUUAAAGAUAGCGUAACAGCUCACUGGUCUAAACAAGUUGUCCUGCGGCGAAGAUGUAACGGGGCUCAAGCCACGAGCCGAAGCUUAGGAUGUGCAUAGCACAUGGUAGCGGAGCGUAGUGUGACAUAAUUCCAUGUCUCCUUACUGCCCUCGGGCAGAUUGGAGACACGGAGUUUUCUGUGAAGCCGGGGCGUGAGCCAUCCGGUGGAGAGAUCACUAGCGAGAAUGAUGACAUGAGUAGCGACAAACAGGGUGAGAGACCCUGUCGCCGAAAGUCCAAGGGUUCCUGCUUAAAGCUAAUCUGAGCAGGGUGAGCCGACCCCUAAGGCGAGGCCGAAAGGCGUAGUCGAUGGGAACCAGGUUAAUAUUCCUGGGCCAGGAGGAUGUGACGGAUCUCGACGGUAGUUCGUCCUUAUCGGAUUGAACGGGCUGCUUAGAGGUUCCUGGAAAUAGCCCUCCAUGAGAUCGUACCCUAAACCGACACAGGUGGACUGGUAGAGAAUACCAAGGCGCUUGAGAGAACGAUGUUGAAGGAACUCGGCAAAAUACCUCCGUAAGUUCGCGAGAAGGAGGCCCGGUUUUUACGCAAGUAGAGGCCGGGGGCACAAACCAGGGGGUGGCGACUGUUUACUAAAAACACAGGGCUCUGCGAAGUCGCAAGACGACGUAUAGGGUCUGACGCCUGCCCGGUGCCGGAAGGUUAAAAGGAGAGGUGCAAGCCUUGAAUUGAAGCCCCGGUAAACGGCGGCCGUAACUAUAACGGUCCUAAGGUAGCGAAAUUCCUUGUCGGGUAAGUUCCGACCUGCACGAAUGGCGUAACGACUUCCCCGCUGUCUCCAACAUCGACUCAGCGAAAUUGAAUUGCCGGUCAAGAUGCCGGCUUCCCGCGGUUAGACGGAAAGACCCCAUGAACCUUUACUAUAGCUUCGCACUGGCAUCAGGAUUGCGAUGUGCAGGAUAGGUGGUAGGCUUUGAAGCAGUGACGCCAGUCGCUGUGGAGCCAUCCUUGAGAUACCACCCUUCGCACUCUUGAUGUCUAACCGCGGCCCGUUAUCCGGGUCCGGGACCCUGCGUGGUGGGUAGUUUGACUGGGGCGGUCGCCUCCCAAACAGUAACGGAGGCGCGCGAAGGUUGGCUCAGAGCGGUCGGAAAUCGCUCGUUGAGUGCAAUGGCAGAAGCCAGCCUGACUGCGAGACUGACAAGUCGAGCAGAGUCGAAAGACGGCCAUAGUGAUCCGGUGGUCCCGAGUGGAAGGGCCAUCGCUCAACGGAUAAAAGGUACUCUGGGGAUAACAGGCUGAUGGUGCCCAAGAGUCCAUAUCGACGGCACCGUUUGGCACCUCGAUGUCGGCUCAUCUCAUCCUGGGGCUGAAGCAGGUCCCAAGGGUAUGGCUGUUCGCCAUUUAAAGAGGUACGUGAGCUGGGUUUAGAACGUCGUGAGACAGUUCGGUCCCUAUCUGCCGUGGGUGUAGGAUACUUGAGAGGAGUUGCCCCUAGUACGAGAGGACCGGGGUGAACGAUCCACUGGUGGACCAGUUGUCGUGCCAACGGCAGUGCUGGGUAGCUAUGAUCGGAAAGGAUAACCGCUGAAGGCAUCUAAGCGGGAAGCCCCCCUCAAAACAAGGUAUCCCUGAGGACCGUGGUAGACCACCACGUCGAUAGGCCGGAGGUGUAAGCGCAGCAAUGUGCUCAGCUGACCGGUACUAAUGGUCCGAUAGGCUUGAUUUGAUCCAGUAGAAGCAAGGUCGAAAGACCGACUGGACCAGAAGUCACACACACAACACGACCUGGACAAUCCUGAUGUUCGCACCCCCGCCCGAAAGGGCCGCGGGGUGUUCCUUUCUCGGUUUGGUGGUCAUAGCACGAGCAAAACACCUGGCUCCAUUCCGAACCCAGCCGUUAAGUGCCGUAGCGCUGAUGGUACUGCGUCUUAAGACGUGGGAGAGUAAGUCACCGCCAAACCUAGCAAGGAACACCCGAUCUCUCGACGAUGAUCAAACAAAGAAAUUGGCGCGGGAUGGAGCAGCCCGGUAGCUCGUCAGGCUCAUAACCUGAAGGUCGUAGGUUCAAAUCCUACUCCCGCAACCAAACACAAGCCGCAAAAACGCCGCCCAAAAAGGGCGGCGUUUUGC